GAAAGGAAAUAGUAAUUCAGUAAAGGAAAAGUAGUGAGAGUAAUAGCCCUGACUGAGAGUGAGUGAGAGAAAGUAAUAGCAAUGAGAGAAAGGAAGGGGUAAGGAGAGAGAGAGAAGAAAAGAGUGAGAGA
Octopus sinensis (East Asian common octopus) is the source of this 131-nucleotide long non-coding RNA. RefSeq lists it as uncharacterized. The transcript is spliced from 3 exons. The record is from RefSeq and is a predicted model, not a curated record. Lineage: Eukaryota; Metazoa; Mollusca; Cephalopoda; Octopoda; Octopodidae.